GGUGGCUCAGUGGUUGAGUGCUUGUCUUGCAUGCAUGAGGCCCUGAGUUUGAUUCCUCAGCACCA
RNAcentral lists this transfer RNA (65 nucleotides) under Dipodomys ordii (Ord's kangaroo rat). It matches the Rfam family "tRNA". From Rfam's summary of the family: Transfer RNA (tRNA) molecules are approximately 80 nucleotides in length. Their secondary structure includes four short double-helical elements and three loops (D, anti-codon, and T loops). Further hydrogen bonds mediate the characteristic L-shaped molecular structure. tRNAs have two regions of fundamental functional importance: the anti-codon, which is responsible for specific mRNA codon recognition, and the 3' end, to which the tRNAs corresponding amino acid is attached (by aminoacyl-tRNA synthetases). tRNAs cope with the degeneracy of the genetic code in two manners: having more than one tRNA (with a specific anti-codon) for a particular amino acid; and 'wobble' base-pairing, i.e. permitting non-standard base-pairing at the 3rd anti-codon position. Lineage: Eukaryota; Metazoa; Chordata; Mammalia; Rodentia; Heteromyidae. The record is from Rfam by way of RNAcentral.